This 429-nucleotide ribosomal RNA is filed under the name Acidobacteriota bacterium. Its description in RNAcentral is "Acidobacteria bacterium partial 16S ribosomal RNA". It matches the Rfam family "Bacterial small subunit ribosomal RNA", at positions 355 to 776 of the family's 1533-position model. The record is from RNAcentral. Lineage: Bacteria; Pseudomonadati; Acidobacteriota.
UGGGGAAUUUUGGACAAUGGGGGAAACCCUGAUCCAGCCAUCCCGCGUGUGCGAUGAAGGCCUUCGGGUUGUAAAGCACUUUUGGCAGGAAAGAAACAUCAUGGGUUAAUACCCCGUGAAACUGACGGUACCUGCAGAAUAAGCACCGGCUAACUACGUGCCAGCAGCCGCGGUAAUACGUAGGGUGCAAGCGUUAAUCGGAAUUACUGGGCGUAAAGCGUGCGCAGGCGGUUCGGAAAGAAAGAUGUGAAAUCCCAGAGCUCAACUUUGGAACUGCAUUUUUAACUACCGGGCUAGAGUGUGUCAGAGGGAGGUGGAAUUCCGCGUGUAGCAGUGAAAUGCGUAGAUAUGCGGAGGAACACCGAUGGCGAAGGCAGCCUCCUGGGAUAACACUGACGCUCAUGCACGAAAGCGUGGGGAGCAAACAGG